UGCUUUGUCGACGCACUCUCCAUUCUCGCUCCUGGAAUAGCGCAUUGUCGCGUCUACUGCACAAAUAUUUAUAAAAACGAAGUAUCAGAAGAUAAGAGCAGCAAACCUGGCACUCGGUCGCCGUCUUUAUCAGUAAAAGAAAGCCGCUUUAGCGCGAAGAAGAGUAAUAUUCAGUGAGAGAUGGUGGUGGCCUCCCUGCAUCAGCUGUGAGGGUGACACGACACCUCCUCAACCUUCCUCAACCCUCCUAGACCCUCCUCACACCUUCCUAGACCUCCCUCCCUCCAACAAGCCGAGACAGGCUCCUGAGGAAGGUGAUCCAGCAAUCAUGCAAGUGCCUAUUAGUGCCCAUUGCAGUGCCACCUUGAGGACCCACAAUUCGGACCAAUUACAAUGGGGGAUUUGCAUGGAACUUACACACCUUGCUGAACGGAUGCCUAUCUGCAAGGGUGCUAAUUAUGAAGGAAAUUGGUCGACGUCAAGCUCGGCUACAGGUUGUGAUGCUAAAACUUGGACCAGUUGCAGCGCUUUCUAUAACCAUUCCAUGAUUAAAUU
This is a non-coding RNA of Procambarus clarkii (red swamp crayfish), 555 nucleotides long. The record is from RefSeq and is a predicted model, not a curated record. Lineage: Eukaryota; Metazoa; Arthropoda; Malacostraca; Decapoda; Cambaridae.